ACAGCCACAUCAUAUUGAAACACCAGUUACUGUAUGAUCAUCAAAGUUAAGCAAUAUUGAGCGUGGUCAGUACCUAAAUGGGUGACCACUUGGGAAUACCAGGUGCUGUAAG
Molecule: non-coding RNA, 112 nt
Organism: Acanthosepion pharaonis
Lineage: Eukaryota; Metazoa; Mollusca; Cephalopoda; Sepiida; Sepiidae
Source: the annotation of a GenBank genome assembly